This 29-nucleotide non-coding RNA is filed under the name Mus musculus (house mouse). The record is from RNAcentral. Lineage: Eukaryota; Metazoa; Chordata; Mammalia; Rodentia; Muridae.
UGUGUCCUACCCAGGUUUGUCUACACACU